UGAUCUCGUGUGUUGCAGCAACCAGACUGGAACCAGCUGCCAGCACUGUUCAUGGGAGAGCUGUCCAAGUGCCUCGGCUUGGUCGACAAGCUGCACCUCUGCGAGGCCUUACCUGCGUACAGGGAGAUGGCAGGGAGGUGUGCGACGUGGUGGCGGACCUGUGAGGUUGGGUGCGAUAUUCAGUGCGCUCUCACGGAUUUCGGUGUCCACCGGCUCUUCCUUAAGUUGCGGCGGUAUGCCGCUCCGGUGGCCUCGCUGCUUGCGAUCGGACCACAACGGGGCCUGGUCAGGCCCGCCUUCCGCACCAGGGUGUACAUCCGCACGGUGAGGGUGGAGGGCGAGUCGCGCCUCCUCCUUCGUCUGAGCGUCUGCUCCUACGACAGGCUGGAUGGCCUGGUGAGGCUUUUCGCCACCGACCUAAGGACAGUUCGUGUGGCGCUGAGGGACUGCAUCAUCGACGUCCGUUCGUUCGUUCCAGUCGGCUAAGGUCCUGCAGGUGCUGGACGUCGUUGCGGAUGGUGGAAAAGGCGCUCUGACGGGUGCAUGGCCUAGGGGGCUUGUUCUUGAGCACCUGGUGAGGUUGCGGGUCCGGUUCAACCCGGACUAUGUCGAUGCUUCCGUUCGUCACGUCACCUCAUUCGGUACUCUCGUGGAAGCACACGGAGACCGUCCCCUGCUGAGGGUGAGCGUCCUGCCCCUGGCCCGGUUUCUCUUGGACAUGGUGCUGGAACAGAUGGCCCAGGACUAGAAGUAGAAGAGGUCAGGAAAGCUGUCCUCCUCAUCACGUGCUGUGAUAUU
Molecule: long non-coding RNA, 798 nt
Organism: Frankliniella occidentalis (western flower thrips)
Lineage: Eukaryota; Metazoa; Arthropoda; Insecta; Thysanoptera; Thripidae
Exons: 3
Source: RefSeq, a predicted model, not a curated record